RNAcentral lists this ribosomal RNA (482 nucleotides) under uncultured bacterium. RNAcentral's name for it is "partial 16S ribosomal RNA". It matches the Rfam family "Bacterial small subunit ribosomal RNA", at positions 29 to 507 of the family's 1533-position model. The record is from RNAcentral.
AUUGAACGCUGGCGGCAUGCUUUACACAUGCAAGUCGAACGGUAACAGGCCGCAAGGUGCUGACGAGUGGGGAACGGGUGAGUAAUGAAUAGGAAAGUGCCCAGUCGUGGGGGAUAACUACUCGAAAGAGUAGCUAAUACCGCAUACGAUCUAUGGACGAAAGCGGGGGACCGUAAGGCCUCGCGCGAUCGGAGCGGCAGCUGUCAGAUUAGGUAGUUGGUGGGGUAAAGGCUGACCAAGCCAACGAUCUGUAGCUGGUCUGAGAGGACGAGCAGCCACACUGGGACUGAGCCACGGCCAAUACUCCUACGGGAGGCAGCAGUGGGGAAUUUUGGACAAUGGGCGCAAGCCUGAUCCAGCAAUGCCGCGUGCAGGAAGAAGGCCUUCGGGUUGUAAACUGCGUUUGUACGGAACGAAACGGCUCUGGUUAAUACCCGGGGCUAAUGACGGUACCGUAAGAAUAAGCACCGGCUAACUACGUG